This is a long non-coding RNA of Aethalodelphis obliquidens (Pacific white-sided dolphin), 3408 nucleotides long. RefSeq lists it as uncharacterized. NCBI's taxonomy places the organism in Eukaryota, Metazoa, Chordata, Mammalia, Artiodactyla, Delphinidae. The record is from RefSeq and is a predicted model, not a curated record. The transcript is spliced from 3 exons.
UUACUUUAAUCUUUAUGCUCUGUUGCCUGUGCUUAGUCAUGCUGGCUCUGCACCUUUUGUAAAAGAAUGUUGCCUAUAGCUUCAAGUAUACAGGAUAGACUGACCUUGACCUGACCUGAACACAGAAUAACAUUUGUCUUGUUGGAGGUUUAGAGGAACAUCGUGACCUGUGAACUGACCUACCUGGACAGCUGCAAGAACAAACGAUCCCACACCAAGAAGUUUGCAACAACUAACCACGCCACUCCCUCAUCUUGCCUUUAAAAGGGCUUUGCUGGACUUCCCUGGCGGUCCAGUGAUAUGCUCAGCCACGUGCAUGCAAUGGCAGAGUUGGCAGAGAAUUAGGACUUUGCCAAGAGUGCUGGGAAAGGAUGAAGGAGCAAAGGAGUCAAGGCUGUAUGCAAGGUAACAUCAGGAUUAUUGGUGAAGUCCAGACAGGAAGAUGAGUCCUAAAAUUUCCAGUUCUUAAGGAUGAACUCUCCCAGGGUAGCAAAAUGAGAAGAGAAGGGGGUUCAAGCUUUGGACAGCUCCAAUAUUUAAUGUCAGUGGGGCAGGAAGUAGAUGGGCUCCAGGCUAGACAUUUACAACAGGCCUCCUGUUUGCAUUUCCUGAAACAGGAGAUAGGUGGGCUCCAGGAUAGAUAUUUACAACCAGCCUCCUGUUUGCACUUCGAAAUAGGAAUAACAACAGAAACAGGGUGCCUACACUUUAAGAUAACAGUCAUGGCAGGAACAGAGAGGGGCUAAACCCUGUUUGAGUAAAAGAUCAAGAGGUCCUAUAUUUCCCAUCUUUGGGGCAAAGGAGACACCGUACAUGCACAGAAAGGCUCCUUGGGGGUCAAAAAGAAGGGGUCACCACCCCAGAAUAGGUGAUGCCAAGGGCCCCCAUAGGCCUCUGGGCUGGAAUCCAUCUUGGAAAAAAGUUGUGCAUGCAAGUUGGGGAGGGUCCUAUGACAGGUCAGGUGUGGAAAAAGAAACCAGAUAAUUGGCCAAAGGUAAACAAAGACUGGGGAGAGCCACUCUGUAUAAAUGAUUUAACCGACUCUUUACUCCUCCUCAUUAGGGAGAACCCCACACCCUUUCUCUCUGGGUGUGUUAUCUCUGCCUUGCUUCUGUCUUAACUAAACAAACUGUUUCUCUGUGUGCUCUCCCACUUGUUGUGCUGUGUCUCUAAUAAUAAACUUCAUACCUGUUUUUACAGUUUUUGUCUCCCUGAGAAAUGCAUUUUUCAGUGGAGGCAAGAGCCACAGAAAAUUUACUUCUAGUCUCCAGCCCUUGCUGGUCUAGUGGCUAGGAUUCCUGGUUUUCAUCCAGGCUACCCAGGUUCAAUUCCUGGGCAGGGAACUAAGAUCUUGCUUCAAGCCACCACUCACUGCUGCUGCGUCUCCAAGAUCAUCAGGAUAAAGAAGGCAAUGGCAAGAGUGAUCACAGAGAGAUAUACAGAUACAUACGAGAACGGACGGGUGGAUGGACAGACGGACAAGACAGGCAGAGAUCUAAGAACAACGGGCUCUGUCUGUGGCAAAAAAACAAACAACAACAAAAUACAGAGCAAACAGAGGCAGAGAGAAGAGGGGAAUGUCACAUAAACUAUAAUAAACUUCCUCAUAGAUAAGCUAGAGUAUCUCUGAAAGAAGAACAGGAUGCUGUGAAACAUCAGCAAGGAGGUGCUGUAAGAUGAUCAACAGUAUAUGAGAAAUAAAACCUUAAGGCCCAUUUUAAGAUCCAGACUUUUCUUCUUAUGAGGGAAAGAAGCUACUGGUAUUUAAAAAACAACAGUUGGCAUUAUUAUCCUUAGCUCAACCAACCAAAAAUGGUAUGUAUCUUCUUUUUGUGUCUUGAAAAUGAAGGGAGUCUCUAAAGAAAGAAAUGUAUCUUUCUCUGAGAAAUUACUGUUUGUUCUGGUUAUUUAGGAAUUGUAUUGGUUUGACACUGCAAUUAAUUUACAAAGGAAUUCUUCCUAUUGAAUAGGUAACAUACUGCAAAAUCCCACAGGGAGAAAGGUGCAUCGCUUGUUUUCUCGUGUCCUGCAGCCACCCAGUUCACCUCUCAGGAGCCAGACUCUUACUGGUUUCUCCUGCAUCGUUCCAGAUAGAGGCAAUUUACUGUGAAGCCAACUAUGCUUCUGCAUCAGCGUCCUUUGCUUGCUUAGGCCCCUUCCCAGGCCUUAUACCGAAUUUUGUAUUUGUACUUUUUGUAUUCUUUUUCUUAAAAAGGGCCACCAGAAUUGUACAAGUUUCAGAGCCCCUCAAACCUGAAUCUGCUAGCUUCCAGAGACAGUGUCUUCAUAUACAAGCAUGUAUUUGCAUAUAUUCUAUAAAAAUACAUAAACAGUAGUAUAUCAUAUUCAUUGUUCCCUGCCUUGCUUUUUUACACUUCAUAUCUUGAAAUCAGUAUUUACAAGAGUUGCCUGCUUUUUAACCAUUGUGUUACAUUCUAUUGUAGGGAUAAUGGUACUUUUAUGUAAACAUUCAUCUAUUGAUGAAUAAUUGAGUUAUUUCCACUAUUCUACCAAUACACACGGUGCUGCAAUGAAUAACCUUGUAUGUAAUUCACAGUCAGAGUGACCAUACCUGCAGGUGUCUGGGGUAGUCCUUACUUGUAACAGUGCUCCCUUAGAUUCUCAAAAAUGUCCAGUGUAGAUGUGUAUUCUUUGAAGGAGAAUCACUAGAUUAAAGAAUAUGUAAAUAUUUAACUUCAAUAGAUAUUAUAAAAUUGUUGUCUGUAGAGGUUGCACCGGUGUACCCUCCCAUCAACGUGUGGACAGUACUAAUUUCGUUCCCUGGCCCCUGCCAAGUGAGAGUGUUAUCAAACUUCUAUAUCUAUAUGAUGGGCAAGAAAUAGUGUGUCAUUAUUUUAAUUUACUUUUAAAAGUUAGUGAAAUUAAGUGUAUUUCUUUCAGUCAAGUGGUUGAAAAUCUAUUUGAAUUUCCUUUCCUAUAAUCUAUGUCAUUGCUCAUUUUCUAUUGGUUGUCAAUAUUUUUCUUAUUGAUUUGAAAGAGAUUUUUAUAUGUUGGGGAGUGCUGCCUGUUAUUUAGAAAUAACUUCGGGAAAGUAAAGGCUGGAGGUAAAUAUACACAUACUUUAUUUUAAACCAUGCUUUUCAAACUGGUUUACACACAUCCCAGGAAAUACUUGUCAGUGUGGCAGGGAACAGAGUAGAUGGUGUUUAAUAGCAUCAGCUCUGGAGCCAUACUGCUGUGUUCAUGUUCCAGUUCUGCCUCUUGCUAACUAAGUAACUUUGGACAAAUCUUUUAAAUUUCAUUGACUCAAUUAACUAUCCAUAAAGUAGAUAAUAAUCUCUACUUCACAAAGUUGGAGUUAAAGAACCUACGCCAAGAAAAGAUAGUUAGCUUGGAAAACCAAAAUAAACAAUAAUUCUGGUCCUGUUAUUUGGCUUUUUAAAAAGA